This is a long non-coding RNA of Raphanus sativus (radish), 2129 nucleotides long. RefSeq lists it as uncharacterized. The transcript has 8 exons. Lineage: Eukaryota; Viridiplantae; Streptophyta; Magnoliopsida; Brassicales; Brassicaceae. The record is from RefSeq and is a predicted model, not a curated record.
UUUUUUCCAAACAGAAUUUUCCUCGCCUUGACUCCGACUCUUCCAAUUCACCGUCACCGUUUCUAAUCUCUGCAAGUCGCCUUCCUCUGUAACUAUUACAACCCACUCUUGCUCAUUCGAUUCCGAACUUUACUCAUAUAUUUAUUAGAGAUGUUAUCCUUUGUUUCUCUUCUUGGAAAGCUGGAUCUUCUCUUGCUAAUAUAUCUCACCGCAGAACCCUAUAUAUACCUUCUUCAGCUUAUAUGUUCUUCACCUGAUUCGCCAACUACAUGGCUCCCAUGCAACCAAGCAAGAUCUCGAUGCUUGCAAUCAACAGUUUCAAGGUAAAACAAGGCUGAAGUAGGAGAUAAAGUUGUUGAUUUGCGCAACAGGGCUGAGGAGGUCUCCAACUUCAUAGAGUUUCAAGAGAGAGAGAGAGAGAGAGAGAGAUGAAAUAAUUUUUGGAGGGGGAGAAUCCGAUAGAAAGCAGGAGAAGAUGGUAGAGAUGAAAACAAGAUAUUACACAGAGAUGCUUGAUUUGGAGAGUGAAUUCGAUGUCUUCAGAGCUGUUAAUGAACAAGAACGACCUUCACAAUGAAGAUGACGCAGACUGCUACCUUACAUGUGCACCUUAAAUCAGUAAUUGCUUGUGUUGGUGAGACUCUUGAGCAGCGAGAGGCUGGGUCAACCAUGGAUUCUGUCGCUGCCCAGAAUAAAGCUAUUGCUGGGUCUAUUAUGAAGACUGUUUUUGGAUGAGACAGGCGAAGCUGUAUUUGUUGGUCUCGAUGGUGAGAUGACAAAACUAACAUUCGAGCCUCUGAGGCUUGUCCUCUACUGGCUGAAGAUGGAGAGAACCCAAAAGAUAGUCGGCUCCCUCAGUUUACACAUUCCAGGUCAAAGUUUUCGACUACAAUUUUGGUGCUAAACAUUAAACAUUCACUGUCUCACACAUCCUGGAAAAGGGUGAACGUCUUGCCCACCCUGACUUUGUUGUGAUGAGGGCAACCAUGGCCGUGAAGAUGAUAUGCCUUAGAUGAAACAAGUUCAAUUUGGCUUAUCACCAAAAACUCUCAGGGCACAUCAUCUUCCAAGUUCACCAAGAAGGCACACAUCGCUUAGGCUAAGAGGAUGCAAUAUGUGGCCACAUUAGCAUCGCUUACGCAUCAUCAUUGGACUUUUUAUCUACUCUGCUAUGUUUUCUUCAGUUUAAGUUAACUCAUGGUUAUAUUACUCCCCAGUCAUUCAUUCAAUCACUGAGUUUCAUAUAUGUAUAAUGUAUAUACAGCCCCUCAAUUCAUUCAAAAUAUUAAAAAACUGAAAAAAUUAAAAACUAAAAGUAACACGUGUGAUGUAAGGAACUGCAUAUAAUAGGGUUGACCAUAUUUCUUCUUUUUUAAAUAUAAGACUACUACAAGACGAAAUAAUAAAAUAAAUAUAAGAUUACGAGGUGUUUGCUUCUCCAAGUGCAAUUCUCUCGAUACAAAUUAAAUUAUUCUUUAGUAUGUUGAGAUCAUUACACACAAUUUAAAAUUAAAAAAAUGAUUAUCUUUAGUCAGCAUUGUAAUUGCAUUUUAAAACAUUAGAGCUUCCAUAUCUUCCAAACAAAAUGAAAAUUAACAUAAAACUAAACUUAAACUUAAAUCUUGAUAUUUAGAAUUUUUUCAGUAAUCAACCAGAUUGCUACUCUUAUGUUUCAUACUCUCGAUUGAAAAUAUUGGUCUUAUAGGCUGAAGAUGGAGAGAACCCAAAAGAUAGUCGGCUCCCUCAGUUUACACAUUCCAGGUAUAAGUUUUCGACUACAAUUUCGGUGCUAAACAUUAAACAUUCACUGUUUCACACAUCCUGGAAAAGGGUGAACGUCUUGCCCACCCUGACUUUGUUGUGAUGAGGGCAACCAUGGCCGUGAAGAUGAUAUGCAUUAGAUGAAACAAGUUCAAUUUGGCCUAUCACCAAAAAACUCUCAGGGCACAUCAUCUUCCAAGUUCACCAAGAAGGCAUGCAUCGCUUAGGCUAAGAGGAUGCAAUAUGUGGCCACAUUAGCAUCGCUUACGCAUCAUCAUUGGACUUUUUAUCUACUCUGCUAUGUUUUCUUCAGUUUAAGUUAACUCAUGGUUAUAUUACUCCCCAGUCAUUCAUUCAAUCACUGAGUU